UACAGAGGUCUCAAGCGUUGUUCGGAUUCAUUGGGCGUAAAGGGUGUGUAGGUGGCGCCGUAAGUCGGGUGUGAAAUUUCGGAGCUUAACUCCGAAACUGCAUUCGAUACUGCGGUGCUUGAGGACUGGAGAGGAGACUGGAAUUCAUGGUGUGGCAGUGAAAUGCGUAGAGAUCAUGAGGAAGACCAGUGGCGAAGGCGGGUCUCUGGACAGUUCCUGACACUGAGACACGAAGGCCAGGGGAGCAAACGGG
Molecule: ribosomal RNA, 253 nt
Filed under: uncultured bacterium
Lineage: Bacteria
Description: partial 16S ribosomal RNA
Rfam family: Bacterial small subunit ribosomal RNA
Source: RNAcentral